AAGUCAGAUGUGAAAGCCCGGGGCUUAACCUCGGAAUUGCAUUUGAAACUGGCAGGCUAGAGUCUUGUAGAGGGGGUAGAAUUUCAGGUGUAGCGGUGAAAUGCGUAGAGAUCUGAAGGAAUACCAGUGGCGAAGGCGGCCCCCUGGACAAAGACUGACGCUCAGAUGCGAAAGCGUGGGGAGCAAACAGGAUUAGAUACCCUGGUAG
Molecule: ribosomal RNA, 208 nt
Filed under: uncultured bacterium
Lineage: Bacteria
Description: partial 16S ribosomal RNA
Rfam family: Bacterial small subunit ribosomal RNA
Source: RNAcentral